Molecule: ribosomal RNA, 567 nt
Filed under: uncultured bacterium
Lineage: Bacteria
Description: bacterial SSU rRNA
Rfam family: Bacterial small subunit ribosomal RNA
Source: RNAcentral
GUGCCGCAGCUAACGCAUUAAGCACUCCGCCUGGGGAGUACGACCGCAAGGUUGAAACUCAAAGGAAUUGACGGGGGCCCGCACAAGCGGUGGAGCAUGUGGUUUAAUUCGAAGCUACGCGAAGAACCUUACCAGGUCUUGACAUCUUGCGCCAACCCUAGAGAUAGGGCGUUUCCUUCGGGAACGCAAUGACAGGUGGUGCAUGGUCGUCGUCAGCUCGUGUCGUGAGAUGUUGGGUUAAGUCCCGCAACGAGCGCAACCCUUGUUACUAGUUGCCAGCAUUCAGUUGGGCACUCUAGUGAGACUGCCGGUGACAAACCGGAGGAAGGUGGGGACGACGUCAGAUCAUCAUGCCCCUUAUGACCUGGGCUACACACGUGCUACAAUGGACGGUACAACGAGUCGCGAACUCGCGAGGGCAAGCUAAUCUCUUAAAACCGUUCUCAGUUCGGACUGCAGGCUGCAACUCGCCUGCACGAAGUCGGAAUCGCUAGUAAUCGCGGAUCAGCAUGCCGCGGUGAAUACGUUCCCGGGCCUUGUACACACCGCCCGUCACACCAUGGGAGU